CCUACGGGUGGCAGCAGUGAGGAAUAUUGGGCAAUGGGCGAGAGCCUGAACCAGCCAAGUCGCGUGAAGGAUGAAGGAUCUCUGGUUUGUAAACUUCUUUUAUAUGGGAGUAAAAUGAGGAACGUGUUCCUUUUUGUAUGUACCAUAUGAAUAAGCAUCGGCUAACUCAGUUCCAUCAGCCGCGGUAAGACGGAGGAUGCGAGCGUUGUCCGGAUUUAUUGGGUUUAAAGGGUGCGUAGGUGGUUAAUUAAGUCAGCGGUGAAAGCUUGCGGCUCAACCAUACAAUUGCCGUUGAAACUGGUUGACUUGAGUAUAUAUGAGGUAGGUGGAAUGCGUGGUGUAGCGGUGAAAUGCAUAGAUAUAACGAAGAACACCGAUUGCGAAGGCAGCUUACUAAACUAUGACUGACACUGAAGCACGAAAGCGUGGGGAGCAAACAGGAUUAGAUACCCGAGUAGUC
This 460-nucleotide ribosomal RNA is filed under the name uncultured bacterium. Its description in RNAcentral is "partial 16S ribosomal RNA". It matches the Rfam family "Bacterial small subunit ribosomal RNA", at positions 338 to 795 of the family's 1533-position model. The record is from RNAcentral.